CUUCGGGAGGGCGCUUACCACUUUGUGAUUCAUGACUGGGGUGAAGUCGUAACAAGGUAACCGUAGGGGAACCUGCGGUUGGAUCACCUCCUUACCUGAAAGAAGC
Molecule: ribosomal RNA, 106 nt
Filed under: Salmonella enterica subsp. enterica serovar Anatum
Lineage: Bacteria; Pseudomonadati; Pseudomonadota; Gammaproteobacteria; Enterobacterales; Enterobacteriaceae
Description: partial 16S ribosomal RNA
Rfam family: Bacterial small subunit ribosomal RNA (bases 1-94)
Source: RNAcentral